Molecule: ribosomal RNA, 309 nt
Filed under: uncultured bacterium
Lineage: Bacteria
Description: partial 16S ribosomal RNA
Rfam family: Bacterial small subunit ribosomal RNA
Source: RNAcentral
AGAGACAGCAGUAGCCGCGGGAAUACGAAGGGGGCUAGCGUUGCUCGGAAUGACUGGGCGUAAAGGGCGCGUAGGCGGCGGCCAAAGUCAGGCGUGAAAUUCCCGGGCUCAACCUGGGGGCUGCGUUUGAUACUUGGUUGCUUGAGUGGGGAAGAGGGUCGUGGAAUUCCCAGUGUAGAGGUGAAAUUCGUAGAUAUUGGGAAGAACACCGGUGGCGAAGGCGGCGACCUGGUCCUUUACUGACGCUGAGGCGCGAAAGCGUGGGGAGCAAACAGGAUUAGAGACCCCAGUAGUCCCUGUCUCUUAUAC